CUGCUCACUCUGGCAGCACAUGCACUAAAAUUGGAACAACAGACAGAAGAUUAGCAUAACCCCUGCACAAGGAUGACACAAAUUUGUGAAGUAUUCCAUAUUUUU
Acinonyx jubatus (cheetah) is the source of this 105-nucleotide small nuclear RNA. The record is from RefSeq and is a predicted model, not a curated record. Lineage: Eukaryota; Metazoa; Chordata; Mammalia; Carnivora; Felidae.